Papaver somniferum (opium poppy) is the source of this 1883-nucleotide long non-coding RNA. RefSeq lists it as uncharacterized. The record is from RefSeq and is a predicted model, not a curated record. The transcript is spliced from 10 exons. Lineage: Eukaryota; Viridiplantae; Streptophyta; Magnoliopsida; Ranunculales; Papaveraceae.
UCUCACUUUUUCUCCCACAGAGACCCAAGAUCCCCUUUUCUUCAGCAGAUACAGAUCGAAACCCUAACUUCGAUUUUUAGAAUCUCUUCUCCUCAUUCUUUGUUGAACCCUAAUGAUGUUGUUUGUUUUGUAACAUUGAGGUCCAGUAAAACCCCAACGAUAUUGUAUCUGUAUGUUGAUUCUACUUUUUAAUUUCAGAUUUCUUAGUAUUCCCAGAGAUCAAAACCCAAGAAGUGGUGGUGGUUAUGGUGGUCCUGGAAGUGGUAGUGCAAAGAGAUGCUAUAGAGAAUUGAAGGGUUUGUAAUCAUUUUUCUCAGUGUUUUCUUUAAUAUUUGAGGAAGAGCUUGUUAAUAGAGGUUGGGUUUCCUUUUUUUUUUCCCAUCCGAAAGCAAAUCUUAAACUUUGGAUCGUUCAAGUUGCAUUUGCAGCAUAAUUUUGGGCUUAAUUGAAUAAUCAGCUGAUUUUGUUCCUUCAUAGAAUCAAUGUUUUGGAUUUUCAUUAGAAUGAAUUCCUAGAUUUUUAUAAUUGCGGGUUUGUAUGGAUGUUUAAACCCUUUUUUCCACUUUUUCCUACAGAUCUGAUGUUUGUUUGGGUUUCAUGAUGCUUUGUUAUUUUGGGUUUUUCAUGUUGUAAUAUGCGGUUAGUUUUGCUGUUGUCCCUGACCUCAGUCAUAUCCUUAACUUAUCAUCUUUGUUGGUGCAUGUUCAAGUUGGAGGAUCACAAAUUUAUAAAGUUGAUAGAAAGCUAUGUAAAGUUGGCUUUCGGCAAGUUUUUGUUGGUGGUCGGGUGUCAGGAGGUAGUGAAAGAGCAAAGGUUUGGGGCCGUAGAGGUGGCUUUAAAAUUUGUUCAUAGAAGCAGUAAAGGUUGCGAUUAUAGUCCUCCAUAUGAGUGGCAAGUUUAUAUCACUCUUGGUGGCAGUCAUGGAGUUUCGAGAGUACAAUAUAAAGCAGUUCAAUCUUCCUGUCACCAGGGGAUUAUGUAAACAGCUACUUGCUAAUGCACAAUCUAAAGUGAAGGAUAGCAAUAAGAUGUCUUAUGGUUAUUACUGUAUCACAAUAACAAGUUGUUGUAAUUGAUGAUGGAGCUGCUAAAAGAAGUGUAUCAAAGCCUGUUCAGAAGAAGGAAGUUGUGAAACCCAAGCAAGAGGAAUUUAUUGAAAUUAGUCCAGAUACAAAAGAAGGUUAAGAAGGAAAAUCCCCAGAAAGCACCAAGGAAGAAAGUUCAAACCUUAAUGCAGUUUUAUCUGCUCAUAGCAAGUUUGUGGACAUUGAUGGAGGAGAUGUUGAUAAUCAGUUGGAAGCUGUGGAGUACGUCGUGGAUUUGUACGAGUGUUACAAGCUCGCAGAGGUGGAAAGUGCCAGGAAAGCAGCAAAAGUAGCUGCGAUAGGAAGUGCUGUUGGAGCACUUCAUUUGGAUGGAACUGCCUGGAGAUAUUUAAAGAGUCCUCAUGAAAAAAUGAUGAACUGUUAAGGAUUAUCCAUGCCUUCAAAGAAGCAGAAUCAACGCAUUCGUUUCAUGAGAAGAGACUACUGGAUAUUGAAAACAAGAUUUUCUUUGCAGCUCAAGGCUAAGAGUGAAGUAGAUGCAGAUAUGCAAAGGUUUGCAGGGUUUCGGCUACGCCUACAUUGCCGGAAUUUAUUCCUUUGUGAGAACUGGUAGGUCUCAUCUUGCGAUGGAAUUCGAGAACUAUUCCUGGAUUUUACCUUGCUGCUAGUGAGCUUUUGGAUGAGGACAUAUUUAUAGUCAUUUAGAUUCAGUGUCUUAAUUCAGACUUGAUUAUUUAGUUUCUUUUCUGAUAUUGAAACCAAGUGUAAACCGAUCUCAGUUAUGAGUUCUGCAACCAAUACAAUGAUUUUUAUUUAAUAAGUUUUCUUUUUGGGUAA